UACAGAGACCACAAGCGUUAUCCGGAUUUAUUGGGCGUAAAGGGUCCGCAGGUGGUUUUGCGCGUCAUGUGUUAAAGCUCUGGGCUCAACCCAGAAAAGGCAUGUGAUACGGCAAGACUAGAGACUGGGAGAGGCACGUGGAAUUGCAGGUGUAGCGGUAAAAUGCGUUCAUAUCUGCAAGAACACCAAAGGCGAAGGCAGCGUGCUGGAACAGUUCUGACACUCAGGGACGAAAGCGUGGGUAGCGAAUGGGAUUAGAUACCCGAGUAGU
This 271-nucleotide ribosomal RNA is filed under the name uncultured bacterium. Its description in RNAcentral is "partial 16S ribosomal RNA". It matches the Rfam family "Bacterial small subunit ribosomal RNA", at positions 524 to 794 of the family's 1533-position model. The record is from RNAcentral.